UACGUAGGGUGCGAGCGUUAAUCGGAAUUACUGGGCGUAAAGCGUGCGCAGGCGGUUCGUUAUGUCCGAUGUGAAAGCCCCGAGCUUAACUUGGGAAUGGCAUUGGAAACUGGCGGGCUGGAGUGCGGCAGAGGGGGGUGGAACUCCACGUGUAGCAGUGAAAUGCGUAGAGAUGUGGAGGAACACCGAUGGCGAAGGCAGCCCCCUGGGCCGACACUGACGCUCAGGCACGAAAGCGUGGGGAGCAAACAGG
RNAcentral lists this ribosomal RNA (253 nucleotides) under uncultured bacterium. Its description in RNAcentral is "partial 16S ribosomal RNA". It matches the Rfam family "Bacterial small subunit ribosomal RNA", at positions 524 to 776 of the family's 1533-position model. The record is from RNAcentral.